AACGAACGCUGGCGGCAUGCCUAACACAUGCAAGUCGAACGAGACCUUCGGGUCUAGUGGCGCACGGGUGCGUAACGCGUGGGAACCUGCCCUUAGGUUCGGACUAACUCCCCGAAAGGGGUGCUAAUACCGGAUAAUGUCUUCGGACCAAAGAUUUAUCGCCUUUGGAUGGGCCUACGUUGGCUUAGCUAGUUGGUAGGGUAAAAGCCUACCAAGGCGGCGAUCCAUAGCUGGUCUGAGAGGAUGAGCAGCCACACUGGGACAGGGACACGGCCCAGACUCCUACGGGAGGCAGCAGUGGGGAAUAUUGGACAAUGGGCGAAAGCCUGAUCCAGCAAUGCCGCGUGAGUGAUGAAGGCCUUAGGGUUGUAAAGCUCUUUUACCCGGGAUGAUAAGGACAGUACCGGGAGAAUAAGCUCCGGCUAACUCCGU
RNAcentral lists this ribosomal RNA (432 nucleotides) under uncultured bacterium. RNAcentral describes it as "partial 16S ribosomal RNA". It matches the Rfam family "Bacterial small subunit ribosomal RNA", at positions 29 to 506 of the family's 1533-position model. The record is from RNAcentral.